AACACUAUCAUAAUUAAUGUACAGAGAAGGGUCAGGACAAGAGCAGAGAACUCAAGCGUUGAACACGUUUAGUGGUCCAAGUGUUGAAUUCAAUUUCACGUCUCAUACAGAGGUAAUUUGUGACAACAGUGAGACAAUAUUUGAAUAUGGUCUCAUUACUACUGACGGAUGAACUUGAGAAAACUAUAUAAUAUAUGUGAUGCUUUCAAGAAUGUAUCUGCAACCAGAUUCUUGGAGUCCCUUAUAUACUACUUGGCAGUUUAUGAUGCUCCAUUUUGAUACUAUUAUUGAUCAUGUCCUGCAGAUUUCAGAAAAGACAUCAUAAUAUCUUUUUUGAAAUAGGCACUUUUAAGUUGUUUAUAAUUUGAAGUCUAAUCCCCCGCCCCGCCUGAUUAGUCAUAGAGAAAAGAUGCAAAGUUCGAGAUUUAUUCGAUUCUUUUGGAAUCAAGUUAGUUCUAUCUAUUAGUUAUUAGUAUUAGUUUUAUAUUAUUACUACUAUACAUGGUCUCAUUUCAAACUCUCUCCAAUUUCUUUCUUUCUCAGGCUUGGAAGUGUUCUAUCCCUCUUCUGAUGAGUGUUUUUUUCGUUCUCUUUGCUUAUCAAACUUUCGAUGUUGGAUCUCUCUCUGAUUUUUUGUUGAUUGCCUGUGGUAGUGAUAAAAACAAUUUUUUUUCUCCCUUUUCCACUUUCACAUCUGUAUAAAUCAAUUUCUAUAUGGUACAACAAGAAUCAAUACAUGUCACUCUAAAUUUGUUAAGAUAACAAUGUCUAUUUUUUAAUAUCAUCUUCAAUUUCACACAUACGCUUACUAUUAAUUUGACCUUUGCUUUGCAGUGGAUGACUUCAAGGACAAAUACAAAAUAUUUUUGAUACAAUACUGCAUCAUCAUCUGUUAUUCAGUAAUUUGAAAAAAUCAUUAAAGGUUUUAGCAAGAAAGACAAAACUCGCGUUAUUAGUUUAUCAUCGAGUCCUUAAAGGUGUCGUCGGAAGGAUUUUUCACUAUAAGCAGUUUCAGGUUUUCAAAAUUUUCUUAUUCAAAAGGCUUAUACCAGAGCUGAUCACUUGCCUUCAGCACAUAUAUGGUUGCUUUAAAUCAUUCCAAGGUGAUCUUUCACAAGAAAAAGUUCAAUGGUUUCAUCCUCAAAAGUUCUUGAUCACAUGUACUGCAAAGAGAAUUAAAAUCAAGCUUUUAGUUGGAGAUCUUAUAUUUGGACAUAUCUGUAUGUCUUGGUGUACUAUUCUCUUCAAUUAGGGGAUGUUGAAUUAGUUCUUUACUA
Long non-coding RNA from Solanum stenotomum, 1277 nucleotides. RefSeq lists it as uncharacterized. NCBI's taxonomy places the organism in Eukaryota, Viridiplantae, Streptophyta, Magnoliopsida, Solanales, Solanaceae. The transcript is spliced from 4 exons. The record is from RefSeq and is a predicted model, not a curated record.